UGGAAGGAGAAGUCGUAACAAGGUCUCCGUUGGUGAACCAGCGGAGGGAUCAUUA
RNAcentral lists this ribosomal RNA (55 nucleotides) under Biscogniauxia mediterranea. RNAcentral's name for it is "partial 18S ribosomal RNA". It matches the Rfam family "Eukaryotic small subunit ribosomal RNA", at positions 1777 to 1831 of the family's 1831-position model. The record is from RNAcentral. Lineage: Eukaryota; Fungi; Ascomycota; Sordariomycetes; Xylariales; Xylariaceae. RNAcentral also lists the same sequence under 1 other name.